Molecule: long non-coding RNA, 712 nt
Filed under: Gallus gallus (chicken)
Lineage: Eukaryota; Metazoa; Chordata; Aves; Galliformes; Phasianidae
Description: lncRNA (ENSGALG00010004180.1)
Source: RNAcentral
CUCCUAGACCCCAUUUAAGGGCUGAGUGCCAUUGAAGAAGGGUCUCUUUCUGGAGAUUGCUCCUCUUGGAGUUUUUAUUGUGAGCCUAUGAUGCAGAUUAUAACAAACUAUCUCAGCAGAUAUUUACAGGCAUUUCUUAGACAACAAUGAAAAGAUGAAAAUAAAAAAGAUCGUUGGAAACCUAGUAAAGUAAGGUUGGCAUCAUUGAUACAGCAGAGGUGGUUGUGAACCUGAAAUUUGCUUGCAGCAGGAGGGACUUUGCUCGCACAAAAAUUUAGCUUUUUAAUAGCCAAAGGAAAUCUGUUUUUCUUGGUGUCUGGGAGGGAAAAAAAACUUAUAUGGAAAGCAGCAAUGAAGCUUCAAAAGUGUUAGUACUUAAAUGUAUUUUAGUUGAUAAUUUGCUUGGAGAGAUCUCCUGCUGUGGAGCUGUUUCUUCUUUCUUGAUUACACCUAUGUUAUGAAAAUUCAUACUGUAAAUUCAUUGUAAAUAAAUAAAAUUGUUUUUUCAUUUAAAAACACAUCUUUAUUUCUUCAUUUCUCCUCAUUAAGGAAAUACUCAUUGGUGCCAACAUUUUGACAAAGCAUUCAAACUGAGAAGAGAUUAUGUAGAAUAGUGAAAAGAAAAAGAAAAUGAUUUUUUUCGUCAGCAUAGAUAAUAUUAGCACAAGAGUAGUCAUAUAGUCAGAAAGAUGUAUGACUUAAUUUAAAGGAC